CAGUAGCCGCGGGAAUACGAAGGGUGCAAGCGUUAAUCGGAAUUACCGGGCGUAAAGCGUGCGUAGGCGGUGAGUUAAGUCUGCUGUGAAAUCCCCGGGCUCAACCUGGGAAUGGCAGUGGAUACUGGCUCACUAGAGUGUGGUAGAGGAUAGUGGAAUUUCCGGUGUAGCAGUGAAAUGCGUAGAGAUCGGAAGGAACAUCUGUGGCGAAGGCGACUAUCUGGGCCAACACUGACACUGAGGCACGAAAGCGUGGGGAGCAAACAGGAUUAGAUACCCCGGUAGUCCCUGUCUCUUAUAC
RNAcentral lists this ribosomal RNA (301 nucleotides) under uncultured bacterium. Its description in RNAcentral is "partial 16S ribosomal RNA". It matches the Rfam family "Bacterial small subunit ribosomal RNA", at positions 509 to 807 of the family's 1533-position model. The record is from RNAcentral.